UACGUAGGGUGCGAGCGUUAAUCGGAAUUACUGGGCGUAAAGCGUGCGCAGGCGGUCUGUUAAGACCGAUGUGAAAUCCCCCGGGCUUAACCUGGGAACUGCAUUGGUGACUGGCAGGCUUUGAGUGUGGCAGAGGGGGGUGGAAUUCCACGUGUAGCAGUGAAAUGCGUAGAGAUGUGGAGGAACACCGAUGGCGAAGGCAGCCCCCCUGGGCUAACACUGACGCUCAUGCACGAAAGCGUGGGGAGCAAACAGG
RNAcentral lists this ribosomal RNA (256 nucleotides) under uncultured bacterium. Its description in RNAcentral is "partial 16S ribosomal RNA". It matches the Rfam family "Bacterial small subunit ribosomal RNA", at positions 524 to 776 of the family's 1533-position model. The record is from RNAcentral.